This 85-nucleotide transfer RNA is filed under the name Felis catus (domestic cat). It matches the Rfam family "tRNA". From Rfam's summary of the family: Transfer RNA (tRNA) molecules are approximately 80 nucleotides in length. Their secondary structure includes four short double-helical elements and three loops (D, anti-codon, and T loops). The record is from Rfam by way of RNAcentral. Lineage: Eukaryota; Metazoa; Chordata; Mammalia; Carnivora; Felidae.
ACCUGGGUGGCUCAGUCGGUUAAGCGUCUGACUUCAGCUCAGGUCAUGACCUUGCGGUUCGUGGGUUCAAGCCCCAUGUCAGGCU